AUAAAAAACACUAAUUAUAUGAAUAUGUUUCUAUUUAUUUAUUUCCUUUGUUGAGAUGGAUUUUACUUAUUGACUUGGAGGCUCGGAUCCGCGCUCAGCGGCAUUGGAAAGCUGAAGUCGGCGCCGUAGUCUUUUUCGUUGCCAACCUCAAGCUGUCCGAGCCAUUUCGUCACCGACUUUGUAACUCGAGUAGUCGCCCCCGCCCCGUGAGUCCAGUUGCCGACUUUCCCUCGAUUGCCGACUCCUCAUUGAAGCUUCUCCCUCCCUCGCGAUGCCUCUAUCGAUUCUAUGAACUUUGCGCGCGCCCCCCUCCUCUCCUCCACCCUCACAUCCGCCAUUGGUCGAAACCCUACCUUCAACCCCACCAUCACCCUCUCCAUCCUCGAAGCUCACCUCCGACGAUGCCGCGAUCCCAAGCACUUCCUCCAAAUCCACGCCCAAAUGACCGUUUCCGGCUUCAUCCACGACACCUUCGCCGCGAGUCGCCUCCUCGCCUUCUCCGCCACCUCCCCCUUCCUCGACCUCGAUUACUCCCUCCACAUCCUCCAUCAGAUCCAAAACCCUAACGGGUUCAUCUUCAAUUCCGUCAUUAGAGCCCACGUGCAUCGGAAUCGCCCCAGUUGUUGCCUCCCAUUGUACAAAUCCAUGCUGAGGAGCCACUUUGUUGUGGAUAAUUACACCUACCCGAUUCUAAUCCACGCUUGCGCCGCCCGGUUUUCGGUAAUCGAAGGCAAGCAGAUGCAUACCCAUGUUUCAAAAUUGGGUUUUGAUUCGGAUGUGUACGUUGUUAACACUCUGAUCAACAUGUACUCAGUUUGUGGCAACUUGGGCGACGCGCGUAUGAUGUUCGAUAAAAGUCCCGUGUUGGAUUCGGUUUCGUGGAACUCAAUCCUCGCGGCAUAUGUUCAGGCUGGUGAUGCCGAGGAGGCGGUUCGGAUAUUUGCCCAGAUGCCGGAGCAGAACACAAUUGCGGCGAACUCGAUGAUCGCUUUGUUCGGAAAGUGCAACAGGCCUGUCGAUGCACGGAAUCUGUUUGAUACGAUGCAAUCUAGGGAUAUUGUCACAUGGACAGCGAUGAUUUCUUGUUAUGAGCAGAAUGGUUUGUUUCGCGAGGCCCUUGAGGUGUUCUCUAAAAUGCCCGAGAAAGAAAGAUCGGUGGAUGAAGUACUAAUGCUAAGUGUUCUCUCUGCCUGCGCACAGUCGGCGGUGAUUAAACAGGGAGAAUCAAUGCAUAGUUUGAUUGUUAAAGUUGGCCUUGAAUCACACGUAAAUGUUCAGAAUGCGAUAAUUCAUAUGUACACAAGCUGCAGCGAUGUUAAAGCUGCGCAGAGAUUGUUCGAUUCGAGUAGUUAUUUGGACCAAGUUUCGUGGAAUUCCAUGCUAGCUGGCUAUCUAAAGUGCGGGCUUGUAGGAGAUGCGAGGGUUAUGUUCGACAAAAUGCCUCACAAGGAUGUUGUCUCGUGGAGUACCAUGGUUACCGGUUACGCUCAGCAUGAUCGCUUUGUAGAGACGCUGGACUUGUUUAAUGAGAUGCAAAACAGAGGAAUUAAGCCUGACGAAACUACUCUGGUGAGUGUUAUUUCGGCCUGCACUCAUUUAUCUGCUCUCGAACAAGGCAAGUGGGUUCAUACAUACAUAAGGAGACAAGGCAUCGCCGUUAAUGUGUUUGUCGGAACAACUCUUAUUGACAUGUACAUGAAAUGUGGGUGCAUGGAAACGGCACUGGAGGUCUUCGAUAUGAUGGAGGAAAGGGCGACUUCUACUUGGAAUGCCGUCAUUUUGGGGUUGGCCGUGAAUGGGCUUGUGAAAGAAUCUCUCGAGAAAUUCUCGGAGAUGGAAAAAGUUGGAGUAGCUCCGAGCGGGAUAACUUUCGUGGGUGUUUUGGGAGCUUGCAGAUAUGCUGGCUUAGUUGCUGAGGGGCGCCAUAAUUUCAAGUUAAUGCAGCAGAAAUACGGGAUUGCACCCAAUAUUAAGCACUACGGCUGCAUGGUCGAUCUCCUUGGUCGUGCGGGCUUUGUGAAAGAGGCCGAGGAGCUCAUCAAAAGUAUGCCUUUUUCGCCCGACGUAGCAACUUGGGGUGCUUUGCUUGCUGCUUGCAAGAAACAUGGCGAAACUGAGAUAGGAGAGAGAGUAGGGAAAGAGCUCAUCGAGCUCGAACCGCAACAUGAUGGCUUUCAUGUACUGCUAUCCAAUAUAUAUGCUUCGAAGGGGAUGUGGGAAAAUGUGAAGGAACUUAGGGGCUUGAUGAAGCAAAGAGGCGUCGUGAAGGUACCCGGCUGUAGCUUGAUAGAAUCGGGCGGCGUUGUUCACGAAUUCUUAGCGGGCGAUAGGACUCACCCUCAGAUCAAAGAGAUAAAUGAAAUGCUGGAUGAGGUAGCGAGGAGAUUGAGGAUCGAAGGAUAUCGACCGGACACAUCGGAUGUUGGAUUUGAUAUCGAAGAGGAAGAGAAAGAAACUACACUUCAUAGACACAGUGAGAAGCUCGCUAUUGCUUUCGGGCUCAUCAGCGUACCCCCGCCUGCUCCGAUCAGGAUAAUGAAGAACUUGCGGAUCUGCGGGGAUUGUCAUGCUGUGGCAAAGAUGAUAUCAAAAUCUUUUCAGCGCGAAGUAAUUGUGAGGGAUCGUCAGCUAUUUCACCAUUUUCGAGAUGGUGUAUGCUCGUGCGGAGAUUAUUGGUGAAUUUGUGUUCAGUGAUCAAACAAUUUGACUGUGGAUCAUCAAACCAAGGAUUUAUGCACAUAAUUGAAGCUUGUGCUAUGGUUUGAACUGAUCACACGGGGAAAUGAAUCGAAAAAUUUCUUACCCAAAUAGAAGUUACUGGGGCUUCAGAAUUGUCAUUUGGAGUUGAUGAUCAAAGGAUAAGCUAAUGGUGAAAAUUCAGAUUGAAAAUUAUCAUGAAUCUUUUAAUGUUGGCUUGCUGUGACUCUCCCAGCAAAGGGGAGAUGAUUACAAGGAAGCGCUUUUCUACGUCGAAAUCAAGGAUGGAAUCCUGGUUUCUCCACAAACUAAGUUCAUCAAGUUUCAAAAGUUGAAGGGGAUGUCAAUGAAUAAAAAUAAAGUCGAGGGGGUCAAGGUCAAGGUCUCCCUACAUUUUAACCCUCUGUAGCACUGCAAUAUAUAAUACCUGGAGGGCUAUUAUGCAAAAAAU
Molecule: RNA transcript, 3148 nt
Organism: Ananas comosus (pineapple)
Lineage: Eukaryota; Viridiplantae; Streptophyta; Magnoliopsida; Poales; Bromeliaceae
Gene name: pentatricopeptide repeat-containing protein At3g62890-like
Exons: 2
Source: RefSeq, a predicted model, not a curated record